RNAcentral lists this microRNA precursor (200 nucleotides) under Oryza brachyantha (malo sina). RNAcentral describes it as "MIR812 microRNA precursor family". It matches the Rfam family "MIR812 microRNA precursor family". The record is from Rfam by way of RNAcentral. Lineage: Eukaryota; Viridiplantae; Streptophyta; Magnoliopsida; Poales; Poaceae.
UCUAAGAUGAACAAAUUUCCGAUAGAAUUUUUAAUUUUUCGUCUUAUUUAAAUUUUUUUAAGAUUAAUAUUUUUAUUGUUAUUACAUGAUAAAAUAUAACUAGUAUUUUACGUAUGAUUUUUUUUCAACCUUUUCAUAAAAUUUUCAAAUAAAACGGAUGGUGAAACACUCGACCUAGAAAACUCAGAAAUGCUUUUUUU